Balaenoptera ricei (Rice's whale) is the source of this 2210-nucleotide long non-coding RNA. RefSeq lists it as uncharacterized. The transcript is spliced from 5 exons. The record is from RefSeq and is a predicted model, not a curated record. NCBI's taxonomy places the organism in Eukaryota, Metazoa, Chordata, Mammalia, Artiodactyla, Balaenopteridae.
UCCAGGGAUGGCAGAUGGGCUUCAGCCCACCUACUGACUCUGAUUCUCAGUCGUGGCUCCUGGCACACUUGUGUUGAGAAGGAUUCUGAGGCCAACACUCAGCUCAGAGACUACAGUUCAUACAAUGGUUGGAGCUCCAGCAGCCAUAUUGGACCACGAAGACACUCUGAGGGCAGAAACUACUUGCUACAGACAGUGGAGCAGAAAUACGUUGGGAUCCGCAAUGAAGUCAAGAGGAGCAUCCUGAACCCAACCAGAAGCUCAGCCCAACCACGCCCAGCCAAACCCACUAAAGAUUAAGCAACUGCAGCCAAACUACUGUCUCAUGGGUAUGAAGUUAAAAGGUUGUUGAUGUAAACCACUGAGAUUGUGGGGUUGUUUGUUAUGCAGCAUCAUCACAGAAGUGGCUGACUCAUACACCAUCCAUUCAGAUAGCUGUGCAGGAAACCUGAAUGCCACCCUUCUCUCCUGCCUCUCCCGCAUGACUCAUAUCCAGUCCCCAAGCCCUAAAUGCUCUUCCAAGCCCUCCCAGCCUCUCCAACCCUUCUACCCUAGACCAGGCCACAUCUCUCUGCACUAGAGCUCUUUUCCAGUGGCCUUCCUGCUUUUAAACCACCCCUUUCUCUCUAGAUGCCGGUGAGGUGUCUGAAGUGCACAUCAGAUCAUGGCCCUCUCUCACCUGUGAUCCUUCUGGGGGUUCAGUUGGGGCAUGACCAGGGACUUCUGUGAAUACAUGCCAUCCCUCUUCCUGGGAUGCUCUCCACUCUGAACCUAAUCCAGCUCCAGUUCCCACCGUGCAGAGCUGGUCAUUACAGUGUAUUGAGAAGAGGAAGUUCAUUUUUAUAUUUAAUCCACGUCUAGAGAAUCAGGGAAGAGAAAGAAGAAAAUGGAAAACACAUGCUGUCCCUCUGACUGCAGAGAUCCAGUUCUUGUUAUUCUUUGGUACUGUCGGCGUCCUCAAGCUGUGCCACCCCUGGGAGCUCCAGCCACACCCAGCUGCCAGCACCAGCCCAGCUGAGCUGAGCGAUGUCUCUGGCUAAGCCCGUUCCACCCACACUCAGGCGUGGCCAUCAGAAAUGUACAAAUGUUGUUCAACAGUGCACAGUCGUGCAAAUACCCCGCGCCCUCGCCCCCUGGGCUGGGGGUGGUGGUGUAGCUCUGUGGACCCGUCCCAGAUGCCCCAGCGUGCCUGAGCUCAGCUGCCCACCUUGGUCACUGACCAACCCCACCCCCUUCGUCACCUCCCUCCCUCUCUGUCCCCCUGCACACAACCCUACCGCUCUGUCCUGGGAUCACCUCCCAAAUAAACGAUUUGCCCUCGAAACGUUUGUUUCAGGGUCUGCUCCUGGAGAGCCCAACCUAAGGCAGAGACCAAAUCCCCAAACAGUUCAAGAGCAGCACCAGAAAGUUCUAGAAUCAAGAGAGAAACGUGUGAUUAAGAUGGAAGGGGGAGGUGAGAAUCCACAGAGUUCUGAGCGAUUUCUCAGCGAAGGAGCCGAUCAUCUGGGAUUCCCAUGGCUCAAGGGGAUCCCCGAGAUUCAAAUAUAUCCUUCUAGACACUCCAGGGGGUUGAAAGGAGAAAGGGACCCAUGCGUCUGCCCUGGAGGAUCAGUUUAAACGCCCUCCCCAUGAGGGGCCCAGAUCCCUAGCACAGGCCCAGCCCACCGAGCCAGGUCCAGUCAGCCAGGUUAGGGGAGACCCUCACGAGCCUCCGUGGGCACAGCACUCACUGGAAACCAGAAGGGACAGGUGCCAAACGCGGGACAGUGUAGCCCCAGAGUCAGGGGGUCACGGGAAGGAAGGAGGCCACGUCCUGUCCUGGUCCCUGUGCAGGGGGGCCAGCGGGCUGCCCUCGCCCUGUCUCCUCUCCACAGAGAGACGACCCCCUUGCUGGGUGGGGUCAGAACACCCCCCAAUGCCUGCACCCCAGGGCACAGCAGGCUGGCAAUUGGCAGAAAGGCCUCCUCACCAGGCGCAUCCAUAGCUCGAGAGCAGCCGUCAUCUGACGGAGAAGUGAGAGCCUAAAACUGUCCUCUAUGUAUGAAAUAGAUAACUAAUAAGGACCUACUGUAUAGCACAGGGAACGCUCCUCAGUACUCUGUAAUGGCCUAUGUGGGAAAAGAAUCUAAAAAAGAGUGGAUAUAGGUAUAUGUAUAACUGAUUCACUUUGCUGUACGGCAGAAACUAACACAACAUUGUAAAUCAACUAU